AUUGAACGCUGGCGGCAUGCCUUACACAUGCAAGUCGAACGGUAACGGGCCUUCGGGUGCCGACGAGUGGCGAACGGGUGAGUAAUACAUCGGAACGUGCCCGAUCGUGGGGGUUAACGAGGCGAAAGCUUUGCUAAUACCGCAUACGAUCUACGGAUGACAGCAGGGGACCGCAAGGCCUUGCGCGGACGGAGCGGCCGAUGGCGGAUUAGGUAGUUGGUGGGAUAAAAGCUUACCAAGCCGACGAUCUGUAGCUGGUCUGAGAGGAUGAUCAGCCACACUGGGACUGAGACACGGCCCAGACUCCUACGGGAGGCAGCAGUGGGGAAUAUUGGACAAUGGGCGCAAGCCUGAUCCAGCCAUGCCGCGUGGAGGAUGAAGGCCUUCGGGUUGUAAACUGCUUUUGUACGGAACGAAAAGCCUUCUUUUAAUACAGGAGGGUCAUGACGGUACCGAAAGAAUAAGCACCGGCUAACUACGUG
This 482-nucleotide ribosomal RNA is filed under the name uncultured bacterium. RNAcentral's name for it is "partial 16S ribosomal RNA". It matches the Rfam family "Bacterial small subunit ribosomal RNA", at positions 30 to 507 of the family's 1533-position model. The record is from RNAcentral.